CAAAGAUGAUUAGCGGCCUGGAGCACCACCCUGACAAGGAAAGGCUGAGAGAGCUGGAACAGUUCAGCCUAGAGAAGGCUAAGGGGUCAUCUUAUCAAUGCUUAUAAAUAUUUAAAGACAGGCAUCAAGUGUACUGGGCCAGGUUCUUUUUGACAGUUCUUAGCAGUGGGAUGAGGUGCAGUGGCAUAAACUGGAACAUAGGAAGUUCCACCUGAGAAAGAACUUCUUUACUCUGUGGGUGACAGAGAACUGGGACAAGCUGUCUAGAGAGGCUGUGGAGUCUUCUUUUCUGUAGAUAUUCAAAACCUGCCUGGAUACUUUCCUGCGCAACCUACUGUAGGGAACCUGAUUUAGCAGGGGGGUAGACUUGAUGAUCUCCAGAGAUCCCUUCCAACCCCUACAAUUCUGUGACUCUGUGAUUCACAUCCCCUUCAGCAAUAGAUUCUUUUGCUAACUUCUCUCUACCAGUUCCCUGAGAAUGACAGUAAUGUCUGAGGAUGUGCAGUAAACUCAGAGCUCACCAAGCUAAAUCCUAUGAAGAUCCAGCAGAGACCAUCCUGGCCUUCUCCACCUCAUGAGCUGUGACUUUGCUCACAAGUUGAGAAUGAAGGUUUGAACAUCUGAGAACUGAGCUAACCUGGAGCAGACUUCAAAUGCAGAAAAAUCAGAAAGCUGAAUGAACGUGGGCAACAACCUCUGCACGCAAGCUGAGGUGUCACAGAAAGACCUGGUGGCAGGAAGAGGGCAGCAGAGUACCAUCUGGCUGUCUAGGGACAUAAGGUUUGCUACUUGAGACUGCAGAGGAUCAUCAUUGCUCCAUGAAAUACAGUUUUGGGAGCUGACUGCAAAAGCCCAGCCUGGAGUAAGUCAACAUGUUGCCAUUGGUACAACAUUAAUUUGUGCCAACUGUCAAACAGACUCUCCUGUGCACAAGACUGUGCAUGUACCAGCUGUAAACCCAAACCUUUCCAUUGGAUUUCCUGUCACUUCUCAGAGAACAAAUGUUCCAACUUAGCUAUAGC
RNAcentral lists this long non-coding RNA (1022 nucleotides) under Coturnix japonica (Japanese quail). Its description in RNAcentral is "lncRNA (ENSCJPG00005007807.1)". The record is from RNAcentral. Lineage: Eukaryota; Metazoa; Chordata; Aves; Galliformes; Phasianidae.